AAGAAAAUAGUUUAUUAUCGUUUAUUAUUGCCACUUGUUGCACUAGAGGUGAUAGAUUGAUGUUGCACUGAUGUGUCUUGGCCUCAAACCCUAGAAAAAUAAUAUUACUUGUCACUGAAAAAUGAGUAAAUAAAAAGAAACGAAUUAUUCCUCAUGCUUUUACAAUGUCUAUCUGCUAUUUGUGAUUUAUUAAGAUACAUUUUGAGUAUUAACAUUAGUUUUUGUUACUAUGAAGGCAAAGGUGAUGGUACAAAUGCAGAAUCUGGAGCACAUGAAGAAGAUUUUCUCAUCCAGGAUGAGAUUUCUAAAUCUUGUCUAGUGAACGUGUAGCGUGAGGAAGAGACAAUUUUGCAUGAGAGAGACGGCUAUAAACUGGAAGAGGGACGUCUUAUACGUGAAUUGAAAA
Molecule: long non-coding RNA, 406 nt
Organism: Populus nigra (black poplar)
Lineage: Eukaryota; Viridiplantae; Streptophyta; Magnoliopsida; Malpighiales; Salicaceae
Exons: 2
Source: RefSeq, a predicted model, not a curated record